UGCAGGCGUUGCAAGUGUCCGUCAACCUCUGCCCAUGGUUCCAUCAGCACAGAGCAGAGUCUUCGACUAGACAAGAAGCACCAGCCAUGGAUCGAUGAGAGGUACAAAAGCACAUUGCCACCAAACUGAAGACAACUUGCGACUCUGAAGAUCAAAGAGGCACUGUGAAAGCACUCCAAAAGGCCGUUGGUAGACAUUUUAACAAAAUUUUAUGAAAGUAAAAACUCACUAAACUCAGGUACCAAGGAAUAAGGCUUCGUUUCAUUAUUAACACCACUUCCUUCCUUAAGCAAUCAAACGAAUCAUCAAACGAAAAGUUGAAGACAUUUUUCUGCUCUACAAAGACAAAAACAAACAGCUUCUGUUGGAAUCAACUACAAUGGGGAUUGUUGUCAAGUUUUCAAGGAUCAAUUAU
Brassica oleracea var. oleracea is the source of this 415-nucleotide long non-coding RNA. RefSeq lists it as uncharacterized. The record is from RefSeq and is a predicted model, not a curated record. The transcript is spliced from 3 exons. Lineage: Eukaryota; Viridiplantae; Streptophyta; Magnoliopsida; Brassicales; Brassicaceae.